AGGGAAUCUUCCGCAAUGGGCGAAAGCCUGACGGAGCAACGCCGCGUGAGUGAUGAAGGUCUUCGGAUCGUAAAACUCUGUUAUUAGGGAAGAACAUAUGUGUAAGUAACUGUGCACAUCUUGACGGUACCUAAUCAGAAAGCCACGGCUAACUACGUGCCAGCAGCCGCGGUAAUACGUAGGUGGCAAGCGUUAUCCGGAAUUAUUGGGCGUAAAGCGCGCGUAGGCGGUUUUUUAAGUCUGAUGUGAAAGCCCACGGCUCAACCGUGGAGGGUCAUUGGAAACUGGAAAACUUGAGUGCAGAAGAGGAAAGUGGAAUUCCAUGUGUAGCGGUGAAAUGCGCAGAGAUAUGGAGGAACACCAGUGGCGAAGGCGACUUUCUGGCCUGUAACUGACGCUGAUGUGCGAAAGCGUGGGGAUCAAACAGGAUUAGAUACCCUGGUAGUCCACGCCGUAAACGAUGAGUGCUAAGUGUUAGGGGGUUUCCGCCCCUUAGUGCUGCAGCUAACGCAUUAAGCACUCCGCCUGGGGAGUACGACCGCAAGGUUG
RNAcentral lists this ribosomal RNA (549 nucleotides) under uncultured bacterium. RNAcentral's name for it is "bacterial SSU rRNA". It matches the Rfam family "Bacterial small subunit ribosomal RNA", at positions 356 to 896 of the family's 1533-position model. The record is from RNAcentral.